This 527-nucleotide long non-coding RNA is filed under the name Citrus sinensis (sweet orange). RNAcentral describes it as "long non-coding RNA (CSIN_LNC003729)". Lineage: Eukaryota; Viridiplantae; Streptophyta; Magnoliopsida; Sapindales; Rutaceae. The record is from RNAcentral.
UUAGUUGAUCGGUAGUUUUCAUCUUCUUUCUUUGUUUAACUCUUAGACAAUCAUGGGUGUUCUCACGUUGAAUGUAGAGGAUACAAGCACUCUCCCCCCUGAAAAGUUGUUCAAACUUUUUGUCCUUCAGUUCGACACCCUUCUGCCCAAAGUCCUGCCUCAGGUUGUAAAGAACGUUGAAUUGAUUUCAGGGGAUGGAGGCCCUGGAAGCAUCAAGAAGUUUAACUUUGUUGAAGGUUAGAUUUACUUUUAUAACUUUUAAGAUACAACAACUGUAAACUAACGUACUUUAUAGCCAUAGCUUAAAUCCACAACUGCUAAAUGGAAAUACCAAAUAGAGCCUAAUUUCAUAUAUGCAAUUAUAAGUUGUAAAACUAACUUUUUUUUUUGUUUAAUUGCAGGUGCUGAUUGGAAGUACUUUAAGCAUAGGGUUGAUGCAUUGGACAAAGAGAACAAGAUAUACAAUUACACGGCAAUUGAAGGUGAGGGUGAUGCUAACAUCCCUACUAUUGAUCAUGUUUCUUAUG